CCUGAGAAACCCAAAAGUUCGAAUGGGGAGAUUCAUCGUCAGCACAUUUGAUAUGUAUGCAGGUCAUGAUGCAUGUUGUUUUCAAUUUUGCACGUACUUGUAUUACUUUAUUGUCAAGUGUCGUCGGCGUGCACUUCUCCCCUUGUAGGACGUCGCGACCCGUUAAAUGUCAGUUUGUGGCCCGGAUGGGAGUUUCUAAUUUUUUAAAUUGGAGACCACUGGUGACCUAACUGGCUGUUUGACGGUAUUCAAACGGUAAUGAGUCGUAUUGUUUUACGUCAAGUUCGUCACAAGUAUGAGUAGUAUCCUGGUAGUGCGGAUCAGAUGCCGUCGCUGGGACUAGUCGACUGUUUGUGUGCGAUUCUCUUUGACUGACUCAUUCUUACCG
Molecule: ribosomal RNA, 388 nt
Filed under: Cenocoelius analis
Lineage: Eukaryota; Metazoa; Arthropoda; Insecta; Hymenoptera; Braconidae
Description: eukaryotic LSU rRNA
Source: RNAcentral